This 577-nucleotide ribosomal RNA is filed under the name uncultured bacterium. Its description in RNAcentral is "bacterial SSU rRNA". It matches the Rfam family "Bacterial small subunit ribosomal RNA", at positions 9 to 553 of the family's 1533-position model. The record is from RNAcentral.
GAGUUUGAUCCUGGCUCAGGAUGAACGCUGGCGGCGUGCCUAAUACAUGCAAGUCGAACGAAACUUCUUUAUCACCGAGUGCUUGCACUCACCGAUAAAGAGUUGAGUGGCGAACGGGUGAGUAACACGUGGGCAACCUGCCCAAAAGAGGGGGAUAACACUUGGAAACAGGUGCUAAUACCGCAUAACCAUAGUUACCGCAUGGUAACUAUGUAAAAGGUGGCUAUGCUACCGCUUUUGGAUGGGCCCGCGGCGCAUUAGCUAGUUGGUGGGGUAAAGGCUUACCAAGGCAAUGAUGCGUAGCCGAACUGAGAGGUUGAUCGGCCACAUUGGGACUGAGACACGGCCCAAACUCCUACGGGAGGCAGCAGUAGGGAAUCUUCCACAAUGGGCGAAAGCCUGAUGGAGCAACGCCGCGUGGGUGAAGAAGGUCUUCGGAUCGUAAAACCCUGUUGUUAGAGAAGAAAGUGCGUGAGAGUAACUGUUCACGUUUCGACGGUAUCUAACCAGAAAGCCACGGCUAACUACGUGCCAGCAGCCGCGGUAAUACGUAGGUGGCAAGCGUUAUCCGGAUUUA